GGUCCCGGCGCCGCGGUGCUUCGAGGGAGCGCGUCUCGUUAUGCUCGAGCAGCCGUAUGCUGUAGCUGAGGUACAAGAACAGGGAAAAGUAUGAAAUACAUCAGCUGUUCGUGGUGGGGAAGCUAUUGGUCUUUUGUCUUGAAGUCUCCAGCCUGGUGUUUGAUCCACUGCUGUGUGCUAUUCCACAACACUCAAGGAGGUACUCUUACUCUGCCUGAAGAAGAGUUUGGAAAGAUUUGAAAUAUACCCCUAGAAGACUAGAUAUAUAACUGCCUAUUCCCAGAUCUGCUAGUACAAUCUUGUUUCCCACCAUCCUUCAUGUUUAAAUGAAGAACAGCAACUGCAUACCUUGCAGUCAGUGAUUUAUUUUGUUCUCUGUAAGUACAGACUAAGCUUUACUGAUGAUAUUUAUCAGAUAAUUGCUCAGUGCAUAUUGUCUGGGUUCUGCAAGCUGUUAUUUGUGAAGAGAAGCCUGGAGGGUGUACUGCAGAGAGACCACUGUAUGUGCCGUGCUCUUCCCCAAACAUCUUCUGUUGGCCACUGCCUUACUGCUUUCCCUAAGAAAGCUUUUCUCAUAUUGAAGAAAAUAAACUUGGAGAAUUUAUGUGUCCAUAUGGAAAAAGAGCAAAGCUGAUGGAAAAGAUCAUAAAUUUAAACCAUGCAUGACAAGUGGAGCAUUGUGGAACAAUCUGAAUAAUGCCCAUGAUUUCAUGAAAAUGUUAAGAAAUUUGUGUAUAUUGACCUGAGGACACAAAGGAACAGAACAGGUGCUAGAACUGAUCCCUUCUCAUGUGCAUCAAGCUUCAUCCUUUUGUAUUACAUCCUAACUAUCACUAGAGUCUUUUAAGGUAGAUCUGUCAGCUAACCCCAUUAUGACCAUUUUUCCACUCUUACCUUUUCUUUAAGAAAUUAAAGUAGCAGAAACCAUACAGUGGUAAUGCUCGUAUAAAUCCAAAGUAGCAAGUAAUGAAAGAGGUGGAAAACAUCGAGAUUCCAUAGUAUUCUGUUUCUUUACAAUAUUUUUAGCUCUGUGUUAAGAAAUUCUUGUUUCUACUAAAGUAUCCUUUCACAUUUCUUAAAGAUGCUGUCAUAUAGUUUACUAUGAGUCAAGGUUUGUCUGUGGAAUCAGCAUGGUACAGAUGGUGUUAUAUUGAUGUUUUAGCUAUCACUUUAUCACUUUGUUUUAUUAUAUAGGUCCUCCUGCAUCCUUAUAAAGUCCUAAAUAAAACAAAGUCGAAGCUCUGA
This is a long non-coding RNA of Rhea pennata, 1245 nucleotides long. RefSeq lists it as uncharacterized. Lineage: Eukaryota; Metazoa; Chordata; Aves; Rheiformes; Rheidae. The record is from RefSeq and is a predicted model, not a curated record. The transcript has 4 exons.